UUGAUCAAAUGUAGGGGUCCUUUCAUAACUAUAAUACGGAGCUGUUGAAAAAACAAAAUACAUUGAAUGAAAUAACGUUUAAGGAAAGAAGUUAGAAAGAAUGAAGAUAAUGUACUAUAAUGUAGCAGUUACUAUACUUGUCAUCGCAGUGUCAACUGACAUGGUAUUAUCAUGUCCCAGCAAUUGUUACUGCACCACAAAUAGCAAUGGGGUUACUGUAAAUUGUGAUAAUAGAGGACUGACCGUUAUUCCGAGAAACUUCACAAAUGACUCAUACUACAUAAAUAUGAAUAGUAAUCCCAUUACUAUAGUGGAAGAAGGAACCUUUCAAAAUAUGGCAUUACUUCU
Molecule: long non-coding RNA, 348 nt
Organism: Mytilus californianus (California mussel)
Lineage: Eukaryota; Metazoa; Mollusca; Bivalvia; Mytilida; Mytilidae
Exons: 3
Source: RefSeq, a predicted model, not a curated record